RNAcentral lists this ribosomal RNA (253 nucleotides) under uncultured bacterium. RNAcentral's name for it is "partial 16S ribosomal RNA". It matches the Rfam family "Bacterial small subunit ribosomal RNA", at positions 524 to 776 of the family's 1533-position model. The record is from RNAcentral.
UACGGGGGGGGCAAGCGUUGUUCGGAAUUACUGGGCGUAAAGGGCUCGUAGGUGGCCAACUAAGUCAGACGUGAAAUCCCUCGGCUUAACCGGGGAACUGCGUCUGAUACUGGAUGGCUUGAGUUCGGGAGAGGGAUGCGGAAUUCCAGGUGUAGCGGUGGAAUGCGUAGAUAUCUGGAGGAACACCGGCGGCGAAGGCGGCAUCCUGGACCGACACUGACACUGAGGAGCGAAAGCCAGGGGAGCAAACGGG